RNAcentral lists this ribosomal RNA (521 nucleotides) under Lasiodiplodia theobromae. RNAcentral describes it as "eukaryotic LSU rRNA". The stretch from base 157 to 310 matches the Rfam family "5.8S ribosomal RNA". The record is from RNAcentral. Lineage: Eukaryota; Fungi; Ascomycota; Dothideomycetes; Botryosphaeriales; Botryosphaeriaceae.
ACCUGCGGAAGGAUCAUUACCGAGUUUUCGAGCUCCGGCUCGACUCUCCCACCCUUUGUGAACGUACCUCUGUUGCUUUGGCGGCUCCGGCCGCCAAAGGACCUUCAAACUCCAGUCAGUAAACGCAGACGUCUGAUAAACAAGUUAAUAAACUAAAACUUUCAACAACGGAUCUCUUGGUUCUGGCAUCGAUGAAGAACGCAGCGAAAUGCGAUAAGUAAUGUGAAUUGCAGAAUUCAGUGAAUCAUCGAAUCUUUGAACGCACAUUGCGCCCCUUGGUAUUCCGGGGGGCAUGCCUGUUCGAGCGUCAUUACAACCCUCAAGCUCUGCUUGGAAUUGGGCACCGUCCUCACUGCGGACGCGCCUCAAAGACCUCGGCGGUGGCUGUUCAGCCCUCAAGCGUAGUAGAAUACACCUCGCUUUGGAGCGGUUGGCGUCGCCCGCCGGACGAACCUUCUGAACUUUUCUCAAGGUUGACCUCGGAUCAGGUAGGGAUACCCGCUGAACUUAAGCAUAUCAAA